GACGAACCGUCCUAACGUUGUUCGGAAUCACUGGGCUUAAAGGGCGCGUAGGCGGGUCAGCAAGUCCGGGGUGAAAUCUUUCGGCUCAACCGGAAAAUAGCCUUGGAUACUGCUGGUCUCGAGGGAGGUAGGGGCCUGUGGAACUUCCGGUGGAGCGGUGAAAUGCGUUGAUAUCGGAAGGAACGCCGGUGGCGAAAGCGACGGGCUGGACCUCUUCUGACGCUGAGGCACGAAGGUCAGGGGAGCAAACGGG
Molecule: ribosomal RNA, 253 nt
Filed under: uncultured bacterium
Lineage: Bacteria
Description: partial 16S ribosomal RNA
Rfam family: Bacterial small subunit ribosomal RNA
Source: RNAcentral